This 253-nucleotide ribosomal RNA is filed under the name uncultured bacterium. RNAcentral's name for it is "partial 16S ribosomal RNA". It matches the Rfam family "Bacterial small subunit ribosomal RNA", at positions 524 to 776 of the family's 1533-position model. The record is from RNAcentral.
UACGUAGGGGGCAAGCGUUGUCCGGAUUUAUUGGGCGUAAAGAGCGUGUAGGCGGCCUGACAGGUCUGCUGUGAAAACUCGAGGCUCAACCUCGAGAUGUCGGCGGAAACCGUCUGGCUAGAGUCCGGAAGAGGAGAGUGGAAUUCCUGGUGUAGCGGUGAAAUGCGUAGAGAUCGGAAAGAACAUCGAUGGCGAAGGCAGCGGCCUGGGUCCAGACUGACACUGAGGUGCGAAAGCGUGGGGAGCAAACAGG